This 324-nucleotide long non-coding RNA is filed under the name Heterocephalus glaber (naked mole-rat). Its description in RNAcentral is "lncRNA (ENSHGLG00100047814.1)". The record is from RNAcentral. Lineage: Eukaryota; Metazoa; Chordata; Mammalia; Rodentia; Bathyergidae.
CACAGCCGAAUCAUGACAGCAGAGCCACUGUGGAAUUACACUUUGGCGCAUGAGUAGCACAGUUGGUUGAAGUUGCCAACUUUCGGGAGACUAUCAGCAGACUUGGUGGAGACGGAGCUGGUGGCUUUUCCCCUUCUCAUUACCCUUGAUUGGAUGAACACUUGGUUCAACAAGUGACUUCGAAGGAAAGAGCCUCCUCGCUGGUCUCCCUGCUGCUGUUUGAUGGACACAGACUGAACGUGUGUGUCCCCCUCCUUCACAGGCUGGAGCCCUAACGCCCCACUUAGUGGCAUUUGGAGACGGAACCUCCAGGAGGUGACUGAG